CUAGCGUUGCUCGGAAUCACUGGGCGUAAAGGGUGCGUAGGCGGGUCUUUAAGUCAGGGGUGAAAUCCUGGAGCUCAACUCCAGAACUGCCUUUGAUACUGAAGAUCUUGAGUUCGGGAGAGGUGAGUGGAACUGCGAGUGUAGAGGUGAAAUUCGUAGAUAUUCGCAAGAACACCAGUGGCGAAGGCGGCUCACUGGCCCGAUACUGACGCUGAGGCACGAAAGCGUGGGGAGCAAACAGG
RNAcentral lists this ribosomal RNA (242 nucleotides) under uncultured bacterium. RNAcentral describes it as "partial 16S ribosomal RNA". It matches the Rfam family "Bacterial small subunit ribosomal RNA", at positions 535 to 776 of the family's 1533-position model. The record is from RNAcentral.